AGAACAACUAAAAACAGAUACUCAAACAUUCUUGUAUAUGAAUGAAGAUCCUGUUUUGAAUGGACACCUUUGAAGCCUCUAGAUAAUUCACCUUAAAAAGCCAAUUUUACACAGCUGCUUUCUUCUGGAAAUCAUGCCUCAUUUGAAGCCUUUUGUCUCCCAGCUCCAGUUCCUUAUCCUUCUAAUCUGAGUACAACAGUGUCUUAUCAGAAAGAGCUCCAGGAAGAGCUUGCUUCAAGAGAGAGGAUGCGGACAGAACCUUAAAUGUCAGGUGAGAACUAGCUCAUGCUGGCUGCAUGGAUAGCAGCCUGCAAUAAGACAAAAGGCCUUGCAGGUGAGGAAAUGCCAUGGACUUUAUAGGACUUUAUAGUUCAGCUUUGUAGACCAGAGUUGAAGUUUUUCUUCUUCCUAGAGCACACAGUUAAAGGUCUUAUUUGUUUGUUUAAGUACUAGAUCAUGAAUGAAAGUUUAAAUCAUUGUUGCCAUGUCUUUGUGCUACAAUCAUAAUGGCACUGCUCCCCUCUGGCCACCUUUGUUUAUUUAUUUUAAAAAUUUAUAUAUAUACUCUUUUUCAGAUGCUUUUUCUUUAUAGGUUAUUGUAAGGUACUGAGUAUUGUUGAACUGUAGUGUUGGAGGAGAAUCUUGAGAGUCCCUUGGACUGCAAGGAAGAUUCAACCAGUCCAUCCUAAAAGAGAUCAGUCCUGGGUGUUCACUGAAAGGACUAAUGUUGAAACUGAAACUCCAAUACUUUGGCCACCUGAUGUGAAGAGCUGACUCAUUGGAAAAGACCCUGAUGCUGGGAAAGAUUGAAGGCAGGAGGAGAAGGGGACGACAGAGGAUGAGAUGGUUGGAUGGCAUCACCGACUUGAUGGACAUGGGUUUGGGUGGACCCUGGGAGUUUGUGAUGGACAGGGCAGCCUGGUGUGCUGUGGUUCAUGAGGUCACAAAGAGUCAGACACAACUGAGCGACUGAACUGAACUAAACUGAAUAUUGAUCUCUGUGCUAUACAGUAGGUCCUUGUUGUUGUUUUCUUUUAAAUCUAUUUUAUAUAUAAUGGUAUUCUGUUCAUCCCAAGCUUUUAUUUUAUCCUUUCUUACCCUUUGCCCCUUUG
Bos indicus x Bos taurus (hybrid cattle) is the source of this 1112-nucleotide long non-coding RNA. Lineage: Eukaryota; Metazoa; Chordata; Mammalia; Artiodactyla; Bovidae. The record is from Ensembl.